GUCUUGAGAUAUCAACCCAAUCCUUGGUCCGCAGAUCUGGCCCAUAUAGACCCAUCACGGGAUGGGCUUGGACAAGUAAUUUGUUGUCCAUGUAAUCAGUGAAUCUAACCCAAGCGGUUUGCGGGUGAUUGGGUCAGGACUGGUUAGCGGGUUUCGGAUCACUUAGAUCAAAUUCAUUCUGAUUUGGAACGCCGUUUGAUGAGAUACAAAGAGAUCACUGAUUGCAUGUCUUCACUGGAGAUUUUGAUCGUUUCAUCUCGUUGUCUGAGACAAAUUAUCUUUGUCUUCUUCAAUCCCACACACGUAGCAGCCUGGCAAGAGAAGAA
This 326-nucleotide long non-coding RNA is filed under the name Brassica napus (rape). Its description in RNAcentral is "long non-coding RNA (BNAP_LNC003129)". The record is from RNAcentral. Lineage: Eukaryota; Viridiplantae; Streptophyta; Magnoliopsida; Brassicales; Brassicaceae.